CAGUCGCCGCGGUAAUACCAGCAGCCCAAGUGGUGGUCGCGAUUAUUGGGCCUAAAGCGCUCGUAGCCGGGCCGGUAAGUCCCUUGUGAAAUCGGACGGCCUAACCGUUCGGCGUGCAAGGGAUACUGUCGGUCUUGAGGCCGGGAGACGUCCGAGGUACUCCGGGGGUAGCGGUGAAAUGUUCUGAUCCUCGGGGGACCACCGGUGGCGAAGGCGUUCGACGAGAACGGGCCUGACGGUGAGGGGCGAAGGCUAGGGGAGCAAACGGGAUUAGAUACCCCGGUAGUCCCUGUCUCUUAUU
This 301-nucleotide ribosomal RNA is filed under the name uncultured bacterium. RNAcentral's name for it is "partial 16S ribosomal RNA". It matches the Rfam family "Archaeal small subunit ribosomal RNA", at positions 459 to 759 of the family's 1478-position model. The record is from RNAcentral.